RNA transcript from Cornus florida, 1912 nucleotides. RefSeq lists it as uncharacterized. Lineage: Eukaryota; Viridiplantae; Streptophyta; Magnoliopsida; Cornales; Cornaceae. The record is from RefSeq and is a predicted model, not a curated record. The transcript has 4 exons.
AGUACAAAACCGCAUAAAAACAGAAAAGAGACCCUAAGAACCCUAGAUCUGAUCCAUCUUCUUCACAGCCAAAAAUGGCGAAAGACAAUGCUCAGCUAAAGGCCGCGAAGCGCCUGUACCGGAACGCCGUGGAGGUGGGCAACCAGCAGGAAGAGGCAAGGUGGGCGAACGUGAUGGAAAAGAUCUUCCAAAGAUAGUUGAUCGUCAUUGUUCAAAAAAGAAAUGCUAGAGGCUUUAAUGGAAUCGAGUGUUCGUCAGUUCCUGUCUUAGAGAUUGUUCGUGCCAAACAGAGACAGUCAUUCACUCUUCCGACUCUACAAUGGUUAAUGCUAGAAGAAGACGGGACAAUCAGAGAAACAAGCAACAAAGGGAAGCGGUCCGUAGGCAGCGUCAGGAGGAUGAGGGUCAGUUCUAUGAGGAGCAUGAGGAAGUUCAACAGACUCGGGAUCAGGGAGGAGAUCCAGAGUUUCCUCCUCACCUCAAUGACCUUAUUGCUCGGGUUAUAGAAGUAGGGGUAAUCGCUGCACUUCGGAAUCAGCCUCAAGUACAGCCGGCACUGUUACCAGCAUCGGUUGUUCAGACUGAUACUUGGGAGAAGGCCAGGAGUUCUUUCACAAAGGGGAGUCCACCUGAGUUCACAGGCUCCACCGAUGCGAGAGCAGCUCAUCAGUGGAAAUUGGAUAUCGAGCGACAUCUUCGUUUGGUUCAUUGCACGGAGGUUCAGAAGCAGAUGUUUGCCACCUUCAAGCUAGUUGGGGAUGCAUUACAGUAGUGGGAGUCGGUUACCACCGCAGAGGAGAGGAUGGCAUUGACUUACAAUGAGUUCAGUGCACGCUUUAAAGAGAAGUAUUUCCCUUAUGCAGUUAGGGCAGCCAUGAAGACUGAGUUUCUUAAUCUGCAGCAGGGGAACAUGACAGUAGCGGAGUAUGAGCAGCAGUUCACACGCUUGUCUCUCUUUGCACCGGAGGAGGUGGAUACAGAGGAGAAGAAGCGCAACAGUUUCGUCAAGGGACUGAUGUGGUCUAUCAAGAGAGCUAUUACGGGUAGUCCAGCCUAUACUACCUAUGCUCAGGUGGUAGACGCCGCUUUACAGCAGUAUCAAUUGACCGUGGAUAUCAGACAGGCCAAGGGUGAGAAGCGAGGUGACAAAGACUCUGCUAAUCAGUCAGCUAAGAAAGGGAAUAGGAACGGACACCGACAGAAUGACAAGGGCAAGUUCCAGGGACAGCAGCCUUGGAAGAAACACAAGGGUGGUUCAGAUGUUCCCAGGGAUGUGGCAUCUAUUCAGCGACAGCAGAAUAGGGGACCAUAGGCAGGACAGGGUCAGCCACUGGCUAACCGACAGAGGAGGCCAUUUGGUACUUUCCAGGGUAGUUGCUACACUUGUGGAGAGUAUGGUCACACUUCUAGGCAGUGUCCUACAGUAAGAUAGGGACAGAGAUAGGGACAGCAUGUGCAGCAGGGGCAGAGGGCGCCAGUGCCUUUACCAGCUCCACAGGUUCCAUGGAUUCAGGGACAAACAUAUCCGGCUUUACCAGCGCCGCCGCAACCUCAGGGACAGGCACCGCAGCAGUUACAUUAUUGCAGGGUGUACAACCCCAUGCCACAGGAUAUGCAGGCACCUCAGGCUGUUGAGGGUGUUCGUCAGUUCCAGUCUUAGAGAUUGUUCGUGCCGAACAGAGACAGUCGUUCACUCUUCCGACUUUGCGUAGGACUCUUCUUCAUGAUUUAAUUAUUAGUUUUAUUUCAGUUCAGUUAUUUCAGUUAAGAUAUUAUUAGGGGUCCACAAUAUGGAUUCUCAAGUUGUGGUUUUAAUUAAUUACUGGUAUCAGAGGAUUGGAGGAUUUUAUUAUUGGAUUUUUAAUUAUUAUUUAGUUGAGGAUUUUAAAAUAGGGAUUUAUUAUUUAGUUUC